GUCAAUCUAUUUUCUCUGGCUCUUAUCUACCCGGCAGUAGAUUUGUUUACUUGAAGCAAACAUUAAGCUAGACAAACACAUUUCUCUUCAUUGCUGCAUGGGCUCUCAGGAAGACGUUGUGAAAGAGCCCUCCGUCCAUCUCCGACAUCAGGGUCGGUUAAGGACACGAACAUUCAAUUAAAUACGUGUUACAAGCCAAUCUUCACAUUUAUUUAAGUUCCGUAUCCAUAUUUGAUCUUGUAAUGUAAUUGUCGAGGAUAAGAUUCAAGUAGGGAAAGGAACUUAUUUAAUUCGUGUUUAGUGGUGCCUUAAGUCAGUGUCGUUAACAUAUCAACCUGAUGUAGAGCAGAGAUCAGAGUCUCAGUCUGCGGAAAAUACGCCAUGUAGGAACCAUAUUCAGACUUGGUCAUCUACGUGAUACAACGCGAAAAUUCUUGACAAAAAACAGCGCCAUUCGCCAGUUUCUUAAGUCGUCGCAGACAAUUACAUUUUCCGGAACUAUAAUACAGUGUUCUUAUAGAAGAUUAUUUGGUGCCCCUCAAAAAACUUAACUUCGUUCUUGCGAGAAAGGAUUAACACAUCCCAAAGCCAUGUCGUGGCUUAAAUUCUGGGGAAAGAAGUCUUCGAAGAAGUCACGGAACGAACUUGCCAGGUCCGAAUCUUUUAAUGAGGAAUCGGGCUUGCCGAAUGAAUCCGAAAAGGAUAAAAAUGGCCGACUCCGACACUCUAUGUCGAUUUCUAGGUCGGGUCGGUUCAAACAGAAGAACAAACAACGAUCCGGUAUCCUGGACAAACCGGAGUUCUUCGCCAAUGGGAAUGAAAAUGGUGAGGACGGACAAAAAGAGAACUACGAACAAUCAGGAGUGAAUCAAUCCAGUGGUCCUUAUAGCAAUCAAAGCACUAACUAUACUGCAAUUAGCGUUAACUCGCACGAGAGCAAAAGGACUCCGCCAAGCACGUGCCGUGAGGUGUCAUCCCGACAACCAAUCACAGCGCGGAAUUAUGAAGGACAUCAAACGGUUCUGUGAUUUUGUGUAUAUAUUUAUUUUAUUUUGAAACAGUCGUACAAUUGUAAAUGUGUUCUGAACUUUUGCUACAACCUGUGUAUAUAGUCAUCCGUUGCCAUUCAGUGGUGCCUUAAUAGUGAUAGUACUUUGGAACGAACGGAAAAAAAUGGGAGUUUCCUUUAUAACCAUUUUGGUAAUAUGUGUACUCAUAUGUGAUAUGAAGUGAAUAGUUUUGAGUUAACAUCUGCGAGAGCGAGAGUUAAGCGUGUGUAACAUUAGAACAACCAUUGAUCACCACGGCACUCGUGCUUGGGAAUAUGCGCGUUUUUAACUUGAAUCAUUUGAUCCAUUGACCUGUACUUGUAUAUGAGAACCACGUGUGCAUUAGAAAAAGUAGCGUAUGGUGCAUGUUUGCACGCUUAAAAGGCAUGUUUGUACGCGUAUAAUGCAUGUUUGCACGUGUAUAUUGCAUGUUUGCACGUGUGCACAUGCCGAAAGUGACUGAGUGUAAACAUUCGGCAAAAACACAUGUUUUUAUUAUAUGCUGUACAUGUAAAAUUUGUCACAAAUGCUCGUAGCCUAAGGGACAGUUUGGUUAUGUUUUGAUUGAAAAGCUUUGAAGAAAGUUCAUUAAGCACGUUCGGUCUGCAUUGUCGGAAGCCUUCAUAUCCCAUGCACUAACACGUGCAGGGCUUAACCAUCCGUCAAGUUCCACGUGUCCACGUUUGACUGGAGAGGCACGACUUUCACGAUCGACUUACAAUGACGUAACAGGGAGAUUUCACUUGCUAAGCUUUAGUACAAAUUCUGAAGGGUGAGGUGCUUUGAACAUUCAGGAGAAUAUUAGAUGCUUCUCGCUUAAAUCAUUACCAAUCCGGUUUUCUAAAAUUGCUUUCCCUUUUCUUUUUAAAUAUAAUAUAUUUCAUAUUUUAUUUAUAUUUUUGUUAAUAGAAUCAGUAAUGAGAUCGCUAUACUUGUACAAAAUCUCAUGCAAAAAAUGUUCGGUAAACAUUCAGUGUAUACCUGCAGCUUAUGUUGCUGUUUUCCUUCGUUUAAUGUUUACAAUUUGCUUUUUACAUCAUUUCCGAAUGUUAAUGAAAUUUUAUUAUAUUAUCUUCAAAAUUGUGAGUGAUUAUAACUUUUUUCUAUAAAACAUAUAUUAUUACCAAAGUUCUUAAGGAAAAGGAUACAAUAAUAAUUCAACAAUCCAUCAAGCACGCAAUUAAACAUUUAAUUGAACUAUUCAUGUACAUUUGAUAGGAAGUUCAUCUCACAAAAUCUAUUUAAAGUCGAUAAUUUAUUGAUCAAAUCGACGAAUGUGUUUAAGAUGAUAGGUUUAACAUGUUUUGAUGUUUGUUGAAAACCCGAUGAGGACUAUUUCAUGGCUAUCACGGUUGAAUCACUCCACGAUUUAUGUACUUAUGUACUAUCAAAUGACAGCCUCAAGUGUUUGAUUAGUAUUCAAAUUGGUGAUUGUGGUGAGCACGUAGGCUGGUAAGGUAAACAUCUACCCCGAUAUUGUAAACAUUUUAAUUUGACGUACAUGUCACUUGCACAAUCUGCAUUUUUAUUUGUCUGGGCAACUUUGUAAACACUGGCUUAUUCUGCAUGUAAAGAUAACUUUCCUCAUUAAGUCCAAAUUAAUUUUAAUGUUUUCGACUUUCACCUCGCCCUGGCACUGAACUUAGGACCUUCUGAUAACUACAUAAAUGGGCUUUUAUCUUUUUCUUAAGCCCCUGGUUUCAGCACCCGAAACAUUUCGACUUGUUAUAAAUUAAUUAUACCCCAUUAUGCUUUUCUGACUUCCUGCUCCGGAUAGCUACAGUUUAAGCGAAUAGCAUCUUCAUUUCCAAGCUUCCAAAACUUAAUUUGACUUACUUCUGACAUCACAGAUGAGAACUUUUGCAUGAAGCAUUUGACUCUACCGUACCAGAACAGAACAUACUAUAUUAGAAAAGAACAGACUGUUCUAGAACAGAACAUACUACGACUGAACAAACUAUAAUAAAAGCAUUGAAGAAUCCUUAAGCAUUUGACUCACCUGUACCAGAAGAGUACGUACUAUUAUGGAAUAGAGUAGAACACACCAGAAAUGAACAUACUAUAUAACAUAACAGAACAGAACAGAAUGUACCAUAUUAGAACAGAACUUGCCAGAACCGAAUAAACUAAAACAAAACAAAGCACUCUUUACUAGAAUAGAACAGAAUAUACCAAUGCUGAACAGAGCAAAUAUAUAAACCAGUUCUUGUGACAUACAUUUAAAUAACUCUUAAACGACUUUUAGUGGCUUUUGAUGUUUCCUAAUUUUAGGGCUGUAGAGAAAUCAUUUAUCAUAGUACAUACUUCACUGUGUUUUGGUGAAUGAGGGCUAUGAAAAUCACUGAAGAUUCGUGUGUACGCGUAUUAAUGCACCUACUUGUUGUAGCGUAGCGCUAAUGAACAAUAUAUAUUAUAUUACAUUGUAGAAAUGCUAGUCCCCAAGUUCAUUAUUGUUCGUUAUCAUGUCCUGAUUUGUUAAAGAUUUGUACUUGAGAUAAGCUGUCUUACUCUGUGCUAUCUUUAAAUGUAUCAUUGUAUUUGUCUUUUUUUUAAAUGGCGUGGCGUGUCCCAUUUAUAAGCCCGUGAGAAAAGAAAUCAUAGAAAUCUUUGUCCUACAAAAUAAUUGUGUUUUAAUGUCUCACCUUUAAGUGUUUUUCAAAUGAAGCAUUGUAGAUAUUACAUGUUUGUUUGGUCUGCUUUUUCAUUAUGUUCAUUUAUUUGAAGUUUUAAUUAAGAACUGAAAUAUUCAUGAGUAGUUUGACAGGCGCAUUAACUGGUGAAUCAUUUUUGGGAUGCUGUCAGAACUUUCGUAUUUUAAUUUUGACAACUUGUUUCAUAUGCACUCACGGGAAGUUUUAUCAUUACAAAUUUAAAAGAAAAAAACAUGUAUAAGUAUAAGUCAGUAUUAUGAGUCAUCUGGUAUCUGCAUGACAUUAUCAAUUAUCUUGCAACGCGAGCGAUAUCAGUGUGAACAUAUUUGCAGAAUGCUGAGUUUACCUCAUUCAAAGAAACAAGAUACAGAUAGAUGAUGAAUGUGUUUAAAACUAGUGUUCAUGCAUGAAAAAUACAGACAUUAUAUACCAUAUAUGGCUGUCCGACACCUUUUAUUGUAAAACAAUGUAAAUAUGUUUAAAAUUCAAUAUGCUAUUCAUCGAGAUGCUUUCUGUCAUAAUAGGCCAUCCUUCAAGAUAUUUGUUUGCAUCUGCCUUACCGACACAACAAAAAGGCUUUGAAUGCCCUUUUUUGGUGUCCAGGGCCUUAUUGUAUUGUAUGUUGUUUGUAGUUUUUCAGUCAGUCAUAAAAGGGAAGGAUAUCCAACCCACCGACCAAAGGAACAAAGUAUUGGUCGGAGCACCGCAAACAAAUAUCUUAGCUCAGUCAUAAAAGAGGAUUUCCAGCCCACCGACCAAACGGAACAAGUCUUGGUCGGGGCACUGCAAACAAAUAUAUUUUAAGGACUGCCUCACCAUGCAUGCAUUGUUCGAAGAUAUUUGUAUUUGAUUGUAGCUAUGAUUUUUGUGCCACACUGGUACCUAUGGACAAACAUAUCAUUGUUGAUUUUGUCUCAAUGAAAUAUAAUUAUAUAAUAAAGUGCUUGAUGAUA
This is a long non-coding RNA of Mya arenaria, 4653 nucleotides long. RefSeq lists it as uncharacterized. The transcript is spliced from 2 exons. The record is from RefSeq and is a predicted model, not a curated record. NCBI's taxonomy places the organism in Eukaryota, Metazoa, Mollusca, Bivalvia, Myida, Myidae.